RNAcentral lists this long non-coding RNA (4158 nucleotides) under Podarcis lilfordi (Lilford's wall lizard). Lineage: Eukaryota; Metazoa; Chordata; Lepidosauria; Squamata; Lacertidae. The record is from RNAcentral.
GCAACUGCACCUGUCAGGGGUCCUUUACCUUUACCUUUAAGAUGAUAUUACCAUUACAAUUCAAGCACCUGAAGGCGCGUUCUACUCCAAAAUGUGUUGAGCUACUCUGAAGAGUUUUCUAUCCAUGAGUGAAACUAUGGAAUUAAGUUGGGAAUCAGUGAGCAAAACCAUUCCCUACGAAGCCUGUGCUCCUUUUCAUAGGAACCAACUCCUGGACCUAGAGGCUGAGGGGUCUCUUCACCCUCCCCAAUAAAAUAUUUGAGGGGGCUGCCCCCCCCCUUGAUGACCAUUGCUAUUCAAAUGGUGUGUGUGCACUGUGACACCAAUCUGGGAGGGGUAGCUAAUGCUGCAGAAGGCAGAAUCAGGAUUCAAGAUGACCUUAACAGGUUGGAGAACUGGGCCCAAACUAACAAAAUGAAUUUCAAUAGCAGCAAAUGUAAGGUUCUGCACUUAGGCAGAACCCUAACUUCUUCAGCUGGUAGAAUCCUCCUACAGAAGCAGCCAAGGUAAGGGUAAGCUAUUGGGGGGAAACAACAGCUAGGGUAGGAUUCCAUAAAUUGAGGACCCUGGAGCAUCUGGUGCCUUCACCAUACAGAUUUUGGUAAGUGCUGAAGAUGCAUCUCUUUUACCCUGGACACACAUUACCCUGAAAUGUGUAUUUUCAAGACCUGUCCAUUUUCUGUGAGUGUAAUUUGUUUAAACUCUUUUUAGUACUGAAUUUUAAUAGUUGCAAUCCACUCUGGGAUCUGCGCUGGUAAAGGGCAGGUAAUUAAUAAUAAUAAAUCUAGUUACGAUGCCAUAUGGAAGAAAAAAGGCAUGGCUUUUAAAGUUGGUUGCCUUUUGCGCCUGCUGUUAAGCCUGAUAGUAAUGUCAUUGAAACCUUAAGUUUUGUCUGUGCUUGGACCGACCACUGCACGUCUAUAGUGUGACAAUCUCACAUGGUAAGUCACGUCGGAGAAAAUGUUUCUAUCUCACAAAGUGGUUGUGCAAAAACUUGUAAGUUAGAUAAAGUCUCCUUAGGCCUUGUGAACUGCAGGAUCAGUCCUUUGCUCUUGCAAAGGUAUCUCAUUUGUACUUGGGCUUGACUUUUAGGUGUUUGUUGUUGUGAUGCUAGAAAUUUUUAAGGGAACAGAAAUGUCUCGGUUUGUGACUGUUUUGCCUGUAACCUAGAACUGAUAAAACCUGUCUGUCUGGUAGGAUCAUGAUGAUGCUGUAUCUAAAGGUAUAACUACUUAAACAAGGUUAGAACAGAGUCCCAAAAAUAAUUUAAAUUCAUUUCUCAAUCGCAUUUACAUUCUCUUUUCAAACAUCCUCUUAGGAAAAUGGUCCCUAAACUACGCGCUUAGAGAAACACACACACACCCUUUAACUGUUCUUGUUAUUGUUUGUGACUCCUUAUUAUCCACACCCAGGAAUUCUUUGGGUCUCAUUAAUACGAAAGACAGCCUUCUUUAGCCCCUGUCUUUUAAAACUGUCAGAUAAUUACACAGUUGGCUUUAGAGUUUAACUUGUCAAAGGAGUUUUCAUUACUUUGUUCCUUUUGGGCAACCUGCCCUAUUGUGUUCCUGGAACACUAAACAGAACCUAUAUUAACUGUCAGUUAAUUAUACACCAUUUUUUCCUUCAGCUUUUACCAGUCAAAGGGGCAGGUAGGCUGCAAUCCUAUCAUCUCAAUCACUGUCUUUUGCCACAAAAGAAUCAAUAAAGAUGAGUCACAUAGUGUCACCUAGCGUCUGAUACUCAAAGCCACCCAUUCCUAAUUGCCUUUAGAGAUGAAUGAUAAUGAAAACUUUGAAGUGAUAAUCAGUCUAAUGAGUGGUCUUGCUGAGAGGGCAGAUCAUGUGUCAGUAGAGUUUGCAGAUGCUUAAAGGCAAACAAAGCCCACUUUCCUUUUAGAGCUGAGAAGACCCUGGCGAGUCUGGUACCCAGAGGCCUGCACAAUGACAGAGACUGGCUCUCAGCGGGAUGCUGAAGCCUGCGGAUCACAACUGACUCCAUCCAUCUUGCUCUUUGCCUUUUAAUCAACCCAGUCAGAGCGAACUCUCUUGGAUCUUGUAGCGUAAGUCUAUAGUCGUGGCUUAACAUGGGUUGUUUGGAUCAGAACGAGAAGCAUGGCAACACAUUCCUUCUCUUUGGAAAAUGUUUGAUUUAAGCAGUGGCAGAAACUUCAUGGGCAACGUUUGGGAAGCCUAGCUAACAGUUGUGGCCUUAAAUGCAGGAGAGCAGGGCAGCUACACGACAAUAGAGAGACAAUAAAAGGUCGUUCAAACAGCAGUGAAAACCAACAUCAGCACAAAAAACAAAGGCGGUGUUUGGUUUGCUAAUAAGAGGCUGAGGGGCUUUGUGUCACAAUCCCUGAAAUGUGUCUUCAUUGCCGUGGGUCAUAUAUUUCCUUUUCAUUUUCUUCUGUUUAUGAAUGGAAAGAUAGGAAGUUUGAGAAGGCUGCUUCUAAAAGUUUGAAGUAAGACUAUAAAAAGAACAAUGAAAAUAUUUGGAAGUGUUAUAUACAGAUUGCAAGUUCCUUUACCUUGGGAUGCUCUUUAGUAAAAGAGAGGAAACUAGUUCAAUUUCUGUCUUAGUUGCCAAAACAUAUUGGGAUAGUCUUGGACUUUAAGUCAACAAUUCAUCAUGAACUAAAGUAAUAAGAAGUUUUAAAAGCAACUCUAUUCAAAGAAAAGUCCUACUGAGUUUAAUGGGAUUCGCUUCCCAUGAUUUCAGCCUAACACUUCCACAGGCUCACUGCUUUGAGGCACUUUUUUGUCCAGUUCCAUGUGGAACCCAUUCUUGGUAAUGGCUUCCCCAUUUAUGUAUUAGGAAAAGGAAUGUCACAUAUAUUAUUUCGUAUGGUUUUCUGCUCAGCCUUCAAACUGACUGACAGUGUAAACACCCCUGAAUUUCUUUAGCUGCAGUGAUGAAACCAGUGGUGUCAUCGCCAGAGGCUUUCUGAAGAAAGUCCAUUUGAGCCAUAAUAUCAAUGUUUGGCUGAUGGGAUUAAUCAGUUCAUGUUAACACAGUGAUUAUCAUAAAGUAAAGGGGGAACAUUUCAAAAGAAUAAUCCAGUCUGAGAAAGUGAAGCAAAAUCAUUUGUGCUUCCAGAGAGGUCAUGGUUGAAUUAUCACAAAACUCUCUUUAUUCAAAGCAGAUGCUUAUUAUGAUAAAUUUAGUGUGAAAAGUGAAGCAAAAUGCAUAUAAAAGACAUUGUCUCCUCGAUUAUGUAAUAAGAAACCACCUCAUUAUAUAUCCACCAAAGAUGAUUGUAUUUUCCUAGGGGCUGUAUAACUACAGUCUGCCAAAAGCCUCUCACAGUCCUCUUCCAAUAUUUUACAUGAAAUAGCAUACUUCUGAGAAUAAAGCCAAAUGACCAGUAACAGAAGAAUCUAAAAUAAACAUCAUUUUAAAGACGCAAAAGGCAUUUCUUACUGUCUCCAUCAUGUAUAUUCUUCCUAAUAAGAAACGUUAUUGUUAAUAUACAUGCAUGAAGACAUGUUUGUUUUGCUUUCUGUUCUUGAGACUAUAAAGCACAUAGCAGCCAGCCGAGAACAUUUCCUUGUGCAUUUUAUAAAACGCCUGCAAUCCUAUCAAUGCGAUGCAUCUUAGAAGCGCUAUUAAUGCAGCCCCACUUAGCUUCUUCUGCAGGCCACAACUGAACCUUCUGAAAGGCUCCUGGCUGUCACCAAAAACAGCAGCCUUAUUGUGCAGCAAUACAAAACAUAUGACAUGGUGCUGUUGCGCUGAGAAUCUCUCCCCACCCCCAAAAGAGGCAGCCAAUGAAGAGGAGUGCCCUGCCCGAAAGUCGCAUCAGAUGUUUCAUAUUAUGUAUGGGAGAAAGGAGAAUCUGCGGUGCUCCUUUCAGUGGCAGUACCGUGUCCUAGCCCUACCUUCAGCUGCACAACUAUUUGUAAAAAGAAGUUUUACAGCCAUUUUACUUUCCUUUGAGAAACAGUAAAUACGUGCUGUUACCAGGAGGCUCAGAUUCUUGGGCUCUCCUGCAGGUUUGCAAGAGUGCCUGCUUGGUUUUGGGUGAGUUUUUUGUUUUGUUUUAAUGUAUACUUGCUUUUUGUUUUAGCGCCCUCCAGUGUCCCCGCAGGUGUACUGAUGAUUUCUUUUCUGCUUUGUUCAAUUAAUUUGAAGAUCAGCAGUAGAGAGCAUCACACACCC